GAGGGUAUAGCUCAAGUGGUAGAGCACAUGCCUAGCAUGCCUUAGGUACUGGGUUCAAUCCCUUGUACCACCA
This 73-nucleotide transfer RNA is filed under the name Camelus bactrianus (Bactrian camel). It matches the Rfam family "tRNA". From Rfam's summary of the family: Transfer RNA (tRNA) molecules are approximately 80 nucleotides in length. Their secondary structure includes four short double-helical elements and three loops (D, anti-codon, and T loops). RNAcentral also lists the same sequence under 1 other name. Lineage: Eukaryota; Metazoa; Chordata; Mammalia; Artiodactyla; Camelidae. The record is from Rfam by way of RNAcentral.